This 394-nucleotide ribosomal RNA is filed under the name uncultured bacterium. RNAcentral's name for it is "bacterial SSU rRNA". It matches the Rfam family "Bacterial small subunit ribosomal RNA", at positions 28 to 416 of the family's 1533-position model. The record is from RNAcentral.
GACGAACGCUGGCGGCGCGCUUAACACAUGCAAGUCGAGCGAGAACCAGGGCUCCGGCCCUGGGGACAGCGGCGAACGGGUGAGUAACACGUGGGUAAUCUGCCCUUGACAUCGGGAUAGCCCGGGGAAACCCGGAUUAAUACCGAAUAGCCUCCGGAGCCUUCGGGCGCCGGAGAAAAGGUAGCUUCGGCCUCUGGUCAAGGAUGAGCCCGCGGCGGAUUAGCUUGUUGGCGGGGUAACGCCCACCAAGGCGACGAUCCGUAGCUGGUCUGAGAGGACGAUCAGCCACACUGGGACUGAGACACGGCCCAGACUCCUACGGGAGGCAGCAGUGGGGAAUCUUGCGCAAAUGCGGGAAACCGUGACGCAGCGACGCCGCGUGGGGAAGAAGGCC